Molecule: unclassified non-coding RNA, 153 nt
Filed under: uncultured Ascomycota
Lineage: Eukaryota; Fungi; Ascomycota
Description: sequence contains ITS2
Source: RNAcentral
CUACCCGUCGAGCCCCGCUCGUGUUGGGGUUCUGCGGCUGCCGCAGGCCCUUAAAGACAGUGGCGGGACCGCCGCCGCGCCGAGCGUAGUAGCGCAAGCCUCGCUCCGGAGCGGCGCCGGCCCCCGCCGGGCCCAGGCCCGAAGCCCCAGACA